Molecule: non-coding RNA, 151 nt
Organism: Pseudonaja textilis
Lineage: Eukaryota; Metazoa; Chordata; Lepidosauria; Squamata; Elapidae
Source: RefSeq, a predicted model, not a curated record
UACUGUGACUAUUUAGAUUUGCUGCUGAAAUUGUCAGGGAUGCCUCAUGUGAUCACUUCAGGAUCAGAAUAGAGGUAUGUGGGGUCAAGCCUGGGCAAGUGCAAAGCAUUCCAGUUGAUUCAAGUCGUUUGUGUGUGUGCAUGUGUGUGUG